Molecule: ribosomal RNA, 113 nt
Filed under: Acanthosepion pharaonis
Lineage: Eukaryota; Metazoa; Mollusca; Cephalopoda; Sepiida; Sepiidae
Source: RNAcentral
UUACAGCCAUAUCACGUUGAAACGCCGGUUUUUGUACGAACACUGAAAUUAAGCAACGUCGAGCUUGGUCUGUACCUAGAUGGGUGACUGCUUGGGAAUACCAGACACUGUAA